Non-coding RNA from Rattus norvegicus (Norway rat), 69 nucleotides. NCBI's taxonomy places the organism in Eukaryota, Metazoa, Chordata, Mammalia, Rodentia, Muridae. The record is from Rfam.
GGGGAUUUGGCUCAGUGGUAGAGCGCUUGCCUAGCAAGCACAAGGCCCUGGGUUCGGUCCCUAGCUCCG